GUAUUGCUGCAUUUGAGGUGCUGUCUGCCCUGAUAACCUCCUCAACAGUUUCAAGCCGCUCAUCGUUGUCAGGCGGCAGCGAGGGGCCUAGCUCCGAAGGGAAAGGUCGUCCAAGGAUGGUACUUCGCGUGUGUGAAUUGAGCUGCACUUGCGCAACCUGUGUGCCAUGACAAUAAAGUCAGGCAGGACAGCGUUCCAAGUACGAAAAGCGCAGUGGGUGUGUCCAGGCCAUCUGCACAUUCAUAAGGAGGUUCGGGGUGCUGAGUAUUGUAAUGAGGAUGGCUACUGCACGCAGAAGGUUUGCAGCUAACUACAAUCUGGUUCUGCAAGGCGGAGGAGUUCUGCAAAGCACCUUCUCAACCAGAACGUCCGCCAUGUAGAAAUUGUCAGAACAUGACGUUCCCCUCAAUCUCACAUACUCCGAUCUGGAGAUCGCGCACGCAGCAGCUGCAGCAGCCAAACAUCAACCGUGGGAUGGUCAAACAGGCGGAAAGCCCGUAGAGUGUUUGUGACCGUGCCCUGAAUACUUGGAUACGUCUGUACUACACCUUGGAGACAAAUUCUGAGGUCAUCUGUAGAAUCCUUGCUCCCUGUACCGGCUGGUCU
This 606-nucleotide long non-coding RNA is filed under the name Coccomyxa subellipsoidea. RNAcentral describes it as "long non-coding RNA (CSUB_LNC000036)". The record is from RNAcentral. Lineage: Eukaryota; Viridiplantae; Chlorophyta; Trebouxiophyceae; Coccomyxaceae.